GCUGGCCACCGCCUGGAGCAGAGCCGGCACUGCAGAAAUAAAGCUCCAGGAGAAAUCAAGCUCCCAGCUUGUGUGGAGGUGCACAGCCUCCAGCCCGCCACCCCAGAGCCCAUGGGAUGUUCACGGGGCACAGCUGUUCCCAUGGUACAACCUCCGUGGCCUCAUGCCUCGUGGCCUUGCCCCCGGGAAGCCAAGGGACAAACACACAGCUAACCACCCCCAAGUCCUCCAAAAGCCAGCCCCAGGGGCAGAUGGGGUGCUGUGGGGACCCCUUUGGCCUGAGCCGUAGCCACUCUUGGAGUCCCUACCACAAAAGACAUUGGGUUCCUGGGCACGGUUAUUCCUGGCCUGUGGCCGGUCUGUGAUGUCCCGGUCUCUCUACGUUUGCCCAGCAAUAUUUAACUAGCACUUUCCAGGCCAGCCCCUGAUAGGUGCUGGGGAUUCAGAAAUAAGACAGAUCAUGGCCCUUCAGGGAGCUCAUCUUCCAAUGACCCAAAGGACAAGAUACCUGCUGCUCUGGCCCUACAACAAUCCAGGACUAUCCUGGAAGGUUUUAUUUCCCUCCUCUUCCAAAGUCAGAAUAUGCUGAGAUACAACAGCUUUCUCGGUUGCUCGGCAAAACACACGAGACAGCUUCUGGCCUCUGGCUUCACCCUCAUGGGCACCAAGUCAGCACUUCCCAAAAUGUGAGAAAAACAACAGCUAAAUAUAAGCUCCUGAGUAACAAAGGGUAGGCCCAUGGGAAUGAGGUGUCCCCAUGCAGCACAAGUCAGUGGCAGAUAAAAAGGGGAGGCCCAGAGCGUUGGGGCUGGCUCCCAGGCCCGGCCCUACAUGCUGGGCUGGGCUGGGCUGGGCUGGGCUGGACUGGGCUGGGCAGGUCAGUACACCCAGGCUGAGCAACACUGAUCAUCUUCCCAGCAGCCAGAUCUGUCGAUAUUCAGCUGGGUUUGUGGCCACAUUUCUCUGCCUUCCUGUAGCCAAUGGAGUGUGCAGAAAGGAUACGUGCAAACACCUGAGACAAGAUCUGUUAAAGAAAGGGUCAUGCCUCUCCUUCUCGGGUCCUCCACCCUGCUUGGGGGGCAUUGACUCACCUGGGACCUGGAGGAGCCACGCCCUCGGGAUGGCUGAGCAGGUGGCCUGGAGAACCUGGUUUGGGGACCAUCCAUCCUGCCCUCCAGUGCUUCCCUCAUUCAGACUUUUACAGCAGAGGGAAAGAAACCUUCUUUUACAGGCAGCCCAAAAAAUCCUCCCUAAUAUAAGAAAUGGAAAAAUUAUGUUCUGAUCCUUAUCAUCAGAGAUUCUGCAAUUGAUGCCACACUCGGGGACACGCGGAAACAAAUGCGGGAACUUGACAUGCCGGCGGGGACCGGGACAGGUUCCACAGGGGAGAGAAGCCUAGCUGGGAGCUGCCCAGAGGUCCACUGCAGGGUCACACUGCUGGCAGGGGGCCACGGGCCCAGGGUGCAGCGUCCUCUCUGCUGGCGUAGUACCCGGCCCCGAGCUCGGCUGCCUUCACCUCCCUCUGCUGGACCUCCCCGGAGCACAGCUGGUGACCACACGGACACCUGGGAGCCAAGAGCAGGCUCUGGAAGAGGAGCUGUCCUGGGCAGGCACGGGCUGCCCCGUCCUCCCAGCGCGAUGCUAGAUGGGGUGGCAACUGCCUUGCCUUGCCUCUCGGGGCAGCGUGCAGCAUUUUACCAACAGUUCAGUGCCUUGGCCUUAGAGGUCAACAAUCUGGAAGGAAAGGUAGUCCUGCAGGGAGUUUUGGCAAAAACUGAGCUCCAGCUCCCCUCUCGGCUGUGAUUCACCCCUGCCACAGGGAAGACACGGACUUUUCCAAGGAGAGAUGCUGACUUGGAUGCUGCAGGGAAAAGUGUCACUCCCUGCUCGAGAUCGACAGUGUGGGGCACUCGGCAUUGUUUUCGUGGUUUCGGGAGUGAUGGUGAAAGAAGGGAGGGAAAGUGUUCUCAGCCAUCACGAGAACAAACUAAGACCAGAAUGGCACUUCCUCACCUCCUAGUCAAGGACUGUGACCUCAUAACGCCGAUUGCACAUUAUCAGACUAACUGGGGUUUUGUGUCGAACUUCAAGAUUCUCUUGGAAAGGAUCUGAUUACCCUAACACCAUUUGGUAUUCCCAAGCCCUGCAUCCACUCCACGUGGACUGUGGGGCUGCUGCUGGAGGGCUUUCCAAGGGGAGAAAGAGGAAAUGUUAGAUUCUAUCAAGGCAGGCAGCCCAAGGCUGGCACCGCUCCCUCCUGGCUGCAGACAGAGAACACACGC
RNAcentral lists this long non-coding RNA (2282 nucleotides) under Vulpes vulpes (red fox). RNAcentral describes it as "lncRNA (ENSVVUG00000004583.1)". The record is from RNAcentral. Lineage: Eukaryota; Metazoa; Chordata; Mammalia; Carnivora; Canidae.